GAAGAUGACGAGUGGCGGACGGGUGAGUAAUGCUUGGGAACUUGCCUUUGCGAGGGGGAUAACAGUUGGAAACGACUGCUAAUACCGCAUAAUGUCUUCGGACCAAACGGGGCUUCGGCUCCGGCGCAAAGAGAGGCCCAAGUGAGAUUAGCUAGUUGGUAAGGUAACGGCUUACCAAGGCGACGAUCUCUAGCUGUUCUGAGAGGAAGAUCAGCCACACUGGGACUGAGACACGGCCCAGACUCCUACGGGAGGCAGCAGUGGGGAAUAUUGCACAAUGGGGGAAACCCUGAUGCAGCCAUGCCGCGUGUGUGAAGAAGGCCUUCGGGUUGUAAAGCACUUUCAGUUGUGAGGAAAAGUUA
This 362-nucleotide ribosomal RNA is filed under the name uncultured Alteromonas sp. Its description in RNAcentral is "bacterial SSU rRNA". It matches the Rfam family "Bacterial small subunit ribosomal RNA", at positions 84 to 455 of the family's 1533-position model. Lineage: Bacteria; Pseudomonadati; Pseudomonadota; Gammaproteobacteria; Alteromonadales; Alteromonadaceae. The record is from RNAcentral.